RNAcentral lists this ribosomal RNA (511 nucleotides) under uncultured bacterium. RNAcentral describes it as "bacterial SSU rRNA". It matches the Rfam family "Bacterial small subunit ribosomal RNA", at positions 31 to 518 of the family's 1533-position model. The record is from RNAcentral.
GAACGCUGGCGGCGUGCCUAAUACAUGCAAGUCGAACGGUCUUUCUAUGGAAGCUGCUCACUGAGAAGAUAGUGGCGGACGGGUGAGUAACACGUGGGUAACCUGCCCAUAAGAGGGGGAUAACAUCCGGAAACGGGUGCUAAUACCGCAUAGUUCUCUUGAUCGCAUGAUCGAGAAAGGAAAGACGGCCUUUGUGCUGUCGCUUAUGGAUGGACCCGCGGCGUAUUAGUUAGUUGGUGAGGUAAUGGCUCACCAAGACGAUGAUACGUAGCCGACCUGAGAGGGUGAUCGGCCACAUUGGGACUGAGACACGGCCCAAACUCCUACGGGAGGCAGCAGUAGGGAAUCUUCCGCAAUGGACGAAAGUCUGACGGAGCAACGCCGCGUGAGUGAAGAAGGUUUUCGGAAUCGUAAAACUCUGUUGUCAGAGAAGAACAAGUUGGAGAGUAACUGCUCCAGCCUUGACGGUAUCUGACCAGAAAGCCACGGCUAACUACGUGCCAGCAGCAGC